GAUGAACGCUGGCGGCGUGCCUAACACAUGCAAGUCGAGCGAUUUACUUCGGUAAAGAGCGGCGGACGGGUGAGUAACGCGUGGGUAACCUGCCCUGUACACACGGAUAACAUACUGAAAGGUAUGCUAAUACGGGAUAACAUAAGAGAGUCGAAUGGCUUUCUUAUCAAAGCUUUUGCGGUACAGGAUGGACCCGCGUCUGAUUAGCUAGUUGGUAAGGUAACGGCUUACCAAGGCGACGAUCAGUAGCCGACCUGAGAGGGUGAUCGGCCACAUUGGAACUGAGACACGGUCCAAACUCCUGCGGGAGGCAGCAGUGGGGAAUAUUGCACAAUGGGCGAAAGCCUGAUGCAGCAACGCCGCGUGAGCGAUGAAGGCCUUCGGGUCGUAAAGCUCUGUCCUCAAGGAAGAUAAUGACGGUACUUGAGGAGGAAGCCCCGGCUAACUACGUGCCAGCCGCCGCGGUAA
This 468-nucleotide ribosomal RNA is filed under the name uncultured bacterium. Its description in RNAcentral is "partial 16S ribosomal RNA". It matches the Rfam family "Bacterial small subunit ribosomal RNA", at positions 28 to 523 of the family's 1533-position model. The record is from RNAcentral.